GAUGAACGCUAGCGGCAGGCCUAAUACAUGCAAGUCGAACGGGAUCCAGAUCAAAGCUUGCUUUGGUCUGGUGAGAGUGGCGCACGGGUGCGUAACGCGUGAGCAACCUACCCUUGUCAGGGGGAUAGCCCGGCGAAAGUCGGAUUAAUACCGCAUGACAUCAUUGAGAGGCAUCUUUCGAUGAUCAAAGAUUUAUCGGACAAGGAUGGGCUCGCGUGACAUUAGCUAGUUGGUAAGGUAACGGCUUACCAAGGCUGCGAUGUCUAGGGGCUCUGAGAGGGGAAUCCCCCACACUGGUACUGAGACACGGACCAGACUCCUACGGGAGGCAGCAGUAAGGAAUAUUGGUCAAUGGACGGAAGUCUGAACCAGCCAUGCCGCGUGCAGGAAGACGGCCCUAUGGGUUGUAAACUGCUUUUAUACGGGAACAAACGUCGGUACGUGUACCGGUCUGAGUGUACCGUAAGAAUAAGGAUCGGCUAACUCCGUG
RNAcentral lists this ribosomal RNA (490 nucleotides) under uncultured bacterium. RNAcentral's name for it is "partial 16S ribosomal RNA". It matches the Rfam family "Bacterial small subunit ribosomal RNA", at positions 28 to 507 of the family's 1533-position model. The record is from RNAcentral.